AUUGAUGUGUAGGAUAGGCCGGAGACUUUGAAGCAGGCACGCCAGUGUUUGUGGAGUCGCUGUUGAAAUACGGCCCUUUGGUUAUUUGAGUUCUAACUCGCUGGUGCGAGGACACUGUUUGGUGGGUAGUUUGACUGGGGUGGUCGCCUCCAAAAGCGUAACGGAGGCUUCUAAAGGUGCCCUCACGCCGAUUGGUAACCGGCGGUA
This 207-nucleotide ribosomal RNA is filed under the name Bacteroides fragilis. RNAcentral's name for it is "partial 23S ribosomal RNA". It matches the Rfam family "Bacterial large subunit ribosomal RNA", at positions 2130 to 2346 of the family's 2925-position model. Lineage: Bacteria; Pseudomonadati; Bacteroidota; Bacteroidia; Bacteroidales; Bacteroidaceae. The record is from RNAcentral.